This 708-nucleotide ribosomal RNA is filed under the name uncultured crenarchaeote. RNAcentral describes it as "bacterial SSU rRNA". It matches the Rfam family "Archaeal small subunit ribosomal RNA", at positions 111 to 805 of the family's 1478-position model. Lineage: Archaea; Thermoproteati; Thermoproteota. The record is from RNAcentral.
UNCCUUGGGANAGAAGNAACCCCGGGUNUCUGGGGCUAAUCCCUGAUAAGCGAUUAGGCUUGGAAUAGUUAAUCACCCAAAAGCCUCAAGACCACGCUCAAGAGGCGCCCAAGGACAAAGCCGCGACCGAUCAGGCUGUUGGUAGGGCAACGGCCUACCAAACCUAUAACCGGUACGGGCCGUGAGAGCGGAAGCCCGGAGAUGGAUACUGAGACAAGGAUCCAGGCCCUACGGGGCGCAGCAGUUGCGAAAACUCCACAAUGCACGAAAGUGUGAUGGGGCUACCCCGAGUGCCGUCCGCUGAGGAUGGCUUUUCUCUGCUGUAAGGAAGCGGAGGAAUAAGGAGAGGGCAAGUCUGGUGUCAGCCGCCGCGGUAAUACCAGCUCUCCGAGUGGUAGGGAUGAUUAUUGGGCUUAAAGCGUCCGUAGCCGGCUUGACAAGUCUUCUGUUAAAUCCAGCAACCCAAUUGUUGGACUGCGGGAGAUACUGCCUAGCUAGAGAACGGGAGAGGUCGACGGUACUCUCAGGGUAGGAGUGAAAUCCUAUAAUCCUGGGAGGACCACCAGUGGCGUANGCUGUCGACUAGAACGUGUCUGACGGUGAGGGACGAAAGCUUGGGGAGCGAAACCGGAUUANAUACCCGGGUAGUCCAAGCUGUAACGAUGCGGGCUANGUGUUGGGGUUGGCUACGUGCCACUUCAUGCCGCA